AUGUGCUAUGAUGAAUAUCAGCAAGAGUCACUUGAUAGGCAUUGGGCAGUGAUGGUAAAGACAUUCAGGUCAUUAGACGAGGUGUACACGUUCUACAAUAAGCACGCGAGAGAACGUCGGUUCGGCAUCAGGAAGGACUCGCUAAAACGUUCAAAGGAUCGCGCAAGGACUGUGCGCUUGAGGAGGUAUCUCUUUUCCGCCGCAGGAAAACGACAGGCCAAGUUCUGUACCAUGGAAGGCCGGACCCGCAGGCUUAGACCGGAGAGUCGAUUCUUAUGUGAAGCCCAUUUGACAGUUAAGCUUGAUAAAAAGCUCAAUCUUUGGUAUGUCAGCAGUUUCUCCGAUGAUCACACCACACUCUUGCACGACCGGACGAAGUCCCUUUCCUCCGAUCUCAUAAUCAGAUCAAAGCAUUUGAGAGAGCUGAGAUCUUAG
RNAcentral lists this ribosomal RNA (435 nucleotides) under Triticum aestivum (bread wheat). RNAcentral's name for it is "partial small subunit ribosomal RNA". The record is from RNAcentral. Lineage: Eukaryota; Viridiplantae; Streptophyta; Magnoliopsida; Poales; Poaceae.